This 468-nucleotide ribosomal RNA is filed under the name uncultured bacterium. RNAcentral's name for it is "partial 16S ribosomal RNA". It matches the Rfam family "Bacterial small subunit ribosomal RNA", at positions 28 to 507 of the family's 1533-position model. The record is from RNAcentral.
GACGAACGCUGGCGGCGUGCUUAACACAUGCAAGUCGAACGGAAAGGCCCUGCUUUUGUGGGGUGCUCGAGUGGCGAACGGGUGAGUAACACGUGAGUAACCUGCCCUUGACUUUGGGAUAACUUCAGGAAACUGGGGCUAAUACCGGAUAGGAUCUCCUGCUGCAUGGUGGGGGUUGGAAAGUUUCGGCGGUUGGGGAUGGUCUCGCGGCUUAUCAGCUUGUUGGUGGGGUAGUGGCUUACCAAGGCUUUGACGGGUAGCCGGCAUGAGAGGGUGACCGGCCACAUUGGGACUGAGAUACGGCCCAGACUCCUACGGGAGGCAGCAGUGGGGAAUAUUGCACAAUGGGGGGAAGCCUGAUGCAGCAACGCCGCGUGCGGGAUGACGGCCUUCGGGUUGUAAACCGCUUUGGCCUGUGACGAAGCGUGAGUGACGGUAAUUUGUAAAGAAGCACCGGCUAACUACGUG